Molecule: long non-coding RNA, 1950 nt
Organism: Gopherus agassizii (Agassiz's desert tortoise)
Lineage: Eukaryota; Metazoa; Chordata; Testudines; Testudinidae
Source: Ensembl
UAGUCAGGCAAGAGCUGACCAGGCUCAAACACCAAUAUAGUGUGAUCGUUCACACCGCCUAGACUAGCGGUGCUGCCAAACUGCCCGUGCUACGGCAUGAGAUUUGGCUGCAUCUAGAAAGAACGAGAUGUCAGAGCUGGGUUGUGGUGACUUCACUUAAGCACAAUGCAUUGGAUACAAUUUUAUCUGAUGUCGAAGGAGGGCUGAACUUGCUGUCUAUUGUGAAGUUGGCGUCAGUCAGAUUGGUGAUACGAAUUGGAGACUUUGGGGCUAAAGAUAUGCAGGACCCACUUUUUCCCUGGGGCAAUACUUUGGAGUGCCAGUGCCUGCACACACAGGCAUUCACCACCUGCUUCUGGCCUCCUUCCAUGCACCACAUCUACACACAACACUAUAACAUCCUUAACACUCUUGAGAAAUGCACAACUCUUUCCAACAGACUGCAAAAGCAGAAGACAACAAUGGCUCACUGAAGGAAACUUUGAUGUCAUAAAUGCAAGAUUAUGACUUCACGAUCGGGCAGCGAGAGAAGCCAGGAUGAGAGAAGAAAAAUAGAACAUAUUCCUCUUUGGAAACCAGCAAGGGAAAUCCAUAAAAUUAGACAAAAAAAACCCUGAAUGUUAUAAAUUUUCCCAAAAAUGUCUUUGCGUCCAAGCUACUAGGCUGGUUGACAUCUGGUCUUUCUAGCUAAUUGGGAUCAGAUUUAUCACUGGUGACAUCAAUAGAGUUUCACCAGGNCCCCAAAAAUGUCUUUGCGCCCAAGCUACUAGGCUGGUUGACAUCUGGUCUUUCUAGCUAUUCAAGUAGAAGCCAAUUGGGAUCAGAUUUAUCACUGGUGACAUCAAUAGAGUUUCACCAGGAUGACCUGGGACCUUUAUGCCUCUAGGGAGAAGAGAAAUAGAAAUCUCAAAUGCAAGAGUCAGAGCACUUUAUAUGCUUCUUCAUCCUUACCUACAUUAUGAAAGCUUCCUGUGUGCUUAUAUUAAUUAGCUGUUUUACCAAUGUAAACUAUCUUUCUAAAAUAUAUUUACAUCAACGUGCCAUGGGGCCUAAUUUGCCACCCAUAUGCUCGUUGAAUAAUACCUUAUUCUGUGAAUAGUUUGAAUGGGCUACUACACAGGAGUAGAAGUGGCAAAAUUUGGCCCAAAGUUAACUUCAGGAACAAUCUGAUUGUAAUUAACAAAAAAUGUUUGGUGUUAAUUUUGUUCAUUUUGUUGUUGAUUUUUGAUAUUAGUGUUAUUUAUUCUUGUACUGCAGGAACUCCUAGGAGCUUCAGUCAUGGGCCAGGCCCCCAUCAUGCUGGGCAUUAUACAAACAGAACACAGAGAUGGUGUCUGCCUCAAAUAGUUUACAAUGAUGUGCUGAGAAUUUGACCCUUUUUUCCCCUUUGGCUGGUUCUUAAAUGGAGAAAAUGCGAGUUUGUUUUUAUAUUAAACAAAAAAAGUACAACUAGAUUGACAACUUGCAUGUUAGGGUUUUACCUGAUGCAGUUUGAGACAGCUGAGAUGUUAUCUCAAUCAUCCCUCUUGCAAUGAGAUUUAUAAUGGAAAUGCUGACAAGACUCCUAUGUUUGGAGAUGGCACCAUGCACUGCUUUAAAAACUUGUUAUGAAUGUUAAUUGGUUAUCUGAAGAGUUUUCUUUUUCUAGGUGUAGGCAGCCUAAGAGACAGCCUCGGUAAUACAAUGUAACGAAUGCGUGAAAACAUAGGAGGCUUAUGUGAGUAUUAGAAUGGCUGGCAUUUCUGCAAACAGUGUUGCAGUUUUAUUUUCAAAAUUUAAUCAAUAAUAAGCUCUUUGAUAUUGCUAUGUACUUGGAGAACAGCAUUUCCUUAGGAUGACAGCUAAGCAACUUUCCCACGGUUUUAUAUCUAAGUUUGGGUUUUAAUUGGUCUGCUUGGGGGAUUGUCAUGAACUUCAGUUCUACACAAAAUAAAUAGAAGACAAGCCACA